This 65-nucleotide transfer RNA is filed under the name Dipodomys ordii (Ord's kangaroo rat). It matches the Rfam family "tRNA". From Rfam's summary of the family: Transfer RNA (tRNA) molecules are approximately 80 nucleotides in length. Their secondary structure includes four short double-helical elements and three loops (D, anti-codon, and T loops). Further hydrogen bonds mediate the characteristic L-shaped molecular structure. tRNAs have two regions of fundamental functional importance: the anti-codon, which is responsible for specific mRNA codon recognition, and the 3' end, to which the tRNAs corresponding amino acid is attached (by aminoacyl-tRNA synthetases). tRNAs cope with the degeneracy of the genetic code in two manners: having more than one tRNA (with a specific anti-codon) for a particular amino acid; and 'wobble' base-pairing, i.e. permitting non-standard base-pairing at the 3rd anti-codon position. Lineage: Eukaryota; Metazoa; Chordata; Mammalia; Rodentia; Heteromyidae. The record is from Rfam by way of RNAcentral.
GGUGGUUCAGUGGUAGAGCACAUGCCUUGCAUGCAUGAGGCCCUAGGUUUGAUUCCCCAGCACCA